This 328-nucleotide ribosomal RNA is filed under the name uncultured eukaryote. RNAcentral describes it as "partial 18S ribosomal RNA". It matches the Rfam family "Eukaryotic small subunit ribosomal RNA", at positions 1470 to 1796 of the family's 1831-position model. The record is from RNAcentral.
CCCUUAGAUGUCCUGGGCCGCACGCGCGUUACACUGAUGCAUUCAACGAGCUUAUAACCUUGGCCGAGAGGCCUGGGCAAUCUUGUUAACGUGCAUCGUGAUAGGGAUAGAUUAUUGAAAUUAUUAAUCUUGGACGAGGAAUUCCUAGUAAACGCAGAUCAUCAAUCUGCAUUGAUUACGUCCCUGCCCUUUGUACACACCGCCCGUCGCACCUACCGAUUGGAUGGUCCGGUGAAGCCUCGGGAUUGUGGUUCUUGCCGCUUUAUUGUGGCGUGACCGCGAGAACUUGUCUAAACCUUAUCAUCUAGAGGAAGGUGAGGUCGUAACA